GACGAACGCUGGCGGCGCGCUUAACACAUGCAAGUCGAACGGUAAGGCCCUCCGGGGUACACGAGUGGCGAACGGGUGAGUAACACGUGGGUGAUCUGCCCUGCACUUCGGGAUAAGCCUGGGAAACUGGGUCUAAUACCGGAUAGGACCCUGGGAUGCAUGUCCUGGGGUGGAAAGCUUUUGCGGUGUGGGAUGGGCCCGCGGCCUAUCAGCUUGUUGGUGGGGUGAUGGCCUACCAAGGCGACGACGGGUAGCCGGCCUGAGAGGGUGACCGGCCACACUGGGACUGAGAUACGGCCCAGACUCCUACGGGAGGCAGCAGUGGGGAAUAUUGCACAAUGGGCGCAAGCCUGAUGCAGCGACGCCGCGUGAGGGAUGACGGCCUUCGGGUUGUAAACCUCUUUCAGCACCGACGAAGCGCAAGUGACGGUAGGUGCAGAAGAAGGACCGGCCAACUACGUGCCAGCAGCCGCCGUAA
RNAcentral lists this ribosomal RNA (478 nucleotides) under uncultured bacterium. RNAcentral's name for it is "partial 16S ribosomal RNA". It matches the Rfam family "Bacterial small subunit ribosomal RNA", at positions 28 to 523 of the family's 1533-position model. The record is from RNAcentral.